Molecule: ribosomal RNA, 465 nt
Filed under: Vreelandella stevensii
Lineage: Bacteria; Pseudomonadati; Pseudomonadota; Gammaproteobacteria; Oceanospirillales; Halomonadaceae
Description: partial 16S ribosomal RNA
Rfam family: Bacterial small subunit ribosomal RNA
Source: RNAcentral
CCUACGGGAGGCAGCAGUGGGGAAUAUUGGACAAUGGGGGCAACCCUGAUCCAGCCAUGCCGCGUGUGUGAAGAAGGCCCUCGGGUUGUAAAGCACUUUCAGUGAGGAAGAACGCCUGGUGGUUAAUACCCAUCAGGAAAGACAUCACUCACAGAAGAAGCACCGGCUAACUCCGUGCCAGCAGCCGCGGUAAUACGGAGGGUGCGAGCGUUAAUCGGAAUUACUGGGCGUAAAGCGCGCGUAGGUGGCUUGAUAAGCCGGUUGUGAAAGCCCCGGGCUCAACCUGGGAACGGCAUCCGGAACUGUCGAGCUAGAGUGCAGGAGAGGAAGGUAGAAUUCCCGGUGUAGCGGUGAAAUGCGUAGAGAUCGGGAGGAAUACCAGUGGCGAAGGCGGCCUUCUGGACUGACACUGACGCUGAGGUGCGAAAGCGUGGGUAGCAAACAGGAUUAGAUACCCGUGUAGUC